Molecule: non-coding RNA, 327 nt
Organism: Ceratotherium simum simum (southern white rhinoceros)
Lineage: Eukaryota; Metazoa; Chordata; Mammalia; Perissodactyla; Rhinocerotidae
Source: RefSeq, a predicted model, not a curated record
AUCAGAAGUCUAAUCCUGUUUUCCAGUUCAAGGCCCUUCAGAUAUCUAAAGGCAACCAUCUCUCCUACCUCCCUUACCUUGUUUUGUCCCACCUUUAUUCCUCCCCCUACCCCCUCAGGCCUUUCUUCUCCAAUGCACUCAACUAACUGCUUUUCAUGUAACAUCUGUUAGGCUCCUUUGAAGAUGUUCUGGUUUGUCUAAUGGUGAAAUGACUAUGCAAGUCACAACGUUUUUGGUCAUAAAGCUUUACAUAUUCUCAACAUAAGUCCAUAGAAUUGAUUUUCCUUAUCUAUAAAACGGGAAUAGGAAUAGGAAUAUAAUAAGGUU